GUGCUCGCUUCGGCAGCACAUAUGCUAAAAUUGGAAUGAUACAGAGACGAUUAGCAUGACCCCUGCGAAAGGAUGAGCAUAAUAGUUCCUGGUAAUAAGCGUUUUAUU
This is a small nuclear RNA of Ochotona princeps (American pika), 108 nucleotides long. The record is from RefSeq and is a predicted model, not a curated record. NCBI's taxonomy places the organism in Eukaryota, Metazoa, Chordata, Mammalia, Lagomorpha, Ochotonidae.